UACAUUCCUUCCUUCAAAAUAAUACCUUACUUAAAACAAAAAUAUCCUGCGUAAUUAACUACCAAUAAUUGGCAGUUAUGCAAUUCUUUCAUUCUUCUUUAUAGUUAUCAAACAACUUGUUGUGGACACUCAUACUUUUCUUAAGGAGGUGAUCCAACCCCAGCUUCCGCUAGGGUUACCUUGUUACGACUUUACCCCAGUCAUGAAUCACAAAGUGGUGAGCGCCCAGAUAAGCUACCCACUUCUUUUGCAACCCACUCCCAUGGUAUGACGGGCGGUGUGUACAAGACCCGGGAACGUAUUCACCGUGGCGUUCUGAUCCACGAUUACUAGCGAUUCCGACUUCACGGAGUCGAGUUGCAGACUCCGAUCCGGACUACGAAAAGGUUUAUGAGAUUAGCUUGCUCUCGCGAGGUUGCGACCCUUUGUCCUUCCCAUUGUAGCACGUGUGUAGCCCUGGUCGUAAGGGCCAUGAUGACUUGACGUCGUCCCCGCCUUCCUCCGGUUUAUCACCGGCAGUCUCUUUAUAGUUCCCACCAUGAUGUGCUGGCAAAUAAAGAUAAGGGUUGCGCUCGUUACGGGACUUAACCCAACAUCUCACGACACGAGCUGACGACAGCCAUGCAGCACCUGUAUCACGGUUCCCGAAGGCACCAAUCCAUCUCUGGAAAGUUCCGUGUAUGUCAAGACCAGGUAAGGUUCUUCGCGUUGCAUCGAAUUAAACCACAUGCUCCACCGCUUGUGCGGGUCCCCGUCAAUUCCUUUGAGUUUUAACCUUGCGGCCGUACUCCCCAGGCGGACAACUUAACGCGUUAGCUUCGCCACUAAG
Molecule: ribosomal RNA, 829 nt
Filed under: Bathymodiolus azoricus thioautotrophic gill symbiont
Lineage: Bacteria; Pseudomonadati; Pseudomonadota; Gammaproteobacteria
Source: RNAcentral